UGAAGUCACAAUGUGGACAUACAGUACUGGAGCUGUACAAGGUCCCAGAAAAUCAACUCCCUGUCCUUCCUUCCUUGUGCCACACCAGUCAGUAAUGUAGACCUAGCUAUAGCAUCCUGUCUUUACUCAGUCUCUCACACCCUGGCCUAUGUCAAGUCACACAGUUAUGCAGCCACACAGCAGUUACAUCAAGGACUGAUCUGACUGAAAGUUCAAUGCGAAGCAGGCCUCCCGUAAGAGACACUAUGGGAGGCCUACCUUGCAAGGUCAGCACUCCCAGGAAGAUGGGGGACUCUCCUGCCAAUGAGUGAGACCAGGACUCAAGUUCUAGCUAUACAACAUGAUGAAAACAUGAUGAGAACAUGGAGGAAUCAUGAGUGUGACUCAGUUACGUGCGGCUUAGUGGGGGCGAAUCUUUGCGACUUGGCAAAUCAACUGUAUUUAAGUUGGUAUUUCUCAAAAAAUAAAGUGGCUUCAUAUCCUAUGCAACCG
This 492-nucleotide long non-coding RNA is filed under the name Anas platyrhynchos platyrhynchos (common mallard). Its description in RNAcentral is "lncRNA (ENSAPLG00000030985.1)". The record is from RNAcentral. Lineage: Eukaryota; Metazoa; Chordata; Aves; Anseriformes; Anatidae.